This 252-nucleotide ribosomal RNA is filed under the name uncultured bacterium. RNAcentral describes it as "partial 16S ribosomal RNA". It matches the Rfam family "Bacterial small subunit ribosomal RNA", at positions 524 to 776 of the family's 1533-position model. The record is from RNAcentral.
UACGUAGGGGGCGAGCGUUGUCCGGAAUUACUGGGCGUAAAGGGUUCGCAGGCGGCAUGGCAAGUCCGGUGUAAAAGGCGGAAGCUCAACUUUCGUAAGCAACGGAAGCUGUAAAGCUUGAGUGAAGGGGAGGCAAGUGGAAUUCCUAGUGUAGCGGUGGAAUGCGUAGAUAUUAGGAGGAAUACCGAUGGCGAAGGCGACUUGCUGGACUUCGACUGACGCUGAGGAACGAAAGCGUGGGUAGCAAACAGG